Esox lucius (northern pike) is the source of this 1016-nucleotide non-coding RNA. Lineage: Eukaryota; Metazoa; Chordata; Actinopteri; Esociformes; Esocidae. The record is from the annotation of a RefSeq genome assembly.
CAUUCUGUCCUCCACUGCUCUGGAAGGUAGCUAGUACUUUUAGUAUGCUAUUAAAGGAUGUCUUCAACAAUGUAUGGACUUGGCUUGUUCUUCCUCUUGUUUCCAUGUCCUGUAACGUGUGUUGAGUUCCAUCAGUCUCCCUCCCUGAUAGUUAAAGAUGGGGGAGACGUGGAGAUUCACUGUAGCCAUGAUGACAAUAACCUGGAUGUGAUGUUGUGGUACCAACAGAAACAGGCCAGUUCUGCUUUGUCUCUGAUAGGGUACAAAUACGGCACCAGUGAACCUACUAACGAGCCUCAGUUCAAGGAGAGAUUCAAGCUGAACAAAGCAGGUGGUCUGAAUGGAUCUCUAGUUAUCUCCAGUCUGAUGGCAACAGACUCGGCUGUGUAUUUCUGUGCAGCCAGUUACACAGUGAUGUGGGUUCAUAUCAAUACCUGACGUAAAUCCUGAUGGGAGGAACACUUCUGUACACAACACGCACACAGGAAGUCAGAUAUAAAAUACUGUGGUUAAUCCACCACAUGUCAAGUGUAGAAACUGCUUGAUUGGUGCUGUGGGAGGGGCAAGAGUCAGAACUGUUGUGUGAAGAUCACAAUUAACAGAAACACAAAUCCAGAAUGCAAGCCCGCCUGCUCAGUUGGUUUGGUUGGCUCACAACAACAUGCUUUCUGUUCAUAAGUAUGAAAAUACCUGGUGAUUUUUUAAUUUUAUUUUGUAUCAUCACCUCCCCUCUCCUCUCCUCACCACUUCUCUCUCCACUCCUCACCUCUCCCUCUUUCUCCUGUCCUCUCUACGGGCCUGUGUGCUGUUCACUCUGGCUGACAGCACUUGUCCCAAAGCUUCCCUUCUACCAGAUACCUGAACCGGCUCCCCCAGAAAUCCAUCAUGAUUAAAAAAUCUCCCUCCUACUACAACAUGUUAUCUCUUGCCACUGGACAGAAAAACAGCGAACGACAGAUAGAAAAUCAGACAGAGAGAAUGUGAGGGAGAGAGAGAGAGUCAGAGAGACAGAAGAG